RNAcentral lists this ribosomal RNA (408 nucleotides) under uncultured bacterium. Its description in RNAcentral is "partial 16S ribosomal RNA". It matches the Rfam family "Bacterial small subunit ribosomal RNA", at positions 28 to 526 of the family's 1533-position model. The record is from RNAcentral.
GACGAACGCUGGCGGCGUGCUUAACACAUGCAAGUCGAACGAAGUGGCGAACGGGGGAGUAAUACGUGGGUAACCUGCCCUCCUUUUUGGGAUAAGCCUUGGAAACGGGGUCUAAUACAGAAUAAAGGGGGAUGGGCUCGCGGCCUAUCAGCUUGUUGGUGGGGUGAGGGCCUACCAAGGCGGUGACGGGUAGCCGGCCUGAGGGGGGGACCGGCAACAUUGGGCCGGAGAUACGGCCCAGACUCCUACGGGAGGGAGCAGUGGGGGAGAUUGCACAAUGGGGGAAAGCCUGAUGCGGCGACGCCGCGUGGGGGAUGAAGGCUUUAGGGUUGUAAACCUCUUUCGCAAGCGAACGGGUAGGUGGAGAAGAAGCGCCGGCUAACUACGUGCCAGCAGCCGCGGUAAUAC